UGGUCACACAGUAGUGACAGGUGGAGCCAGCCCACACCCAGUCUUCUGAUGCCACUCCUUUGCAGAGGCUGUAUGUCCUUCUCUGUCCCUGCCCCUGCGCCCUCCUCCUGCCCACCAGACCCUUCUCUGGGAUAUCCCCCUAGUUUGGUUGCUGCGGGGUCAACGGGCCUGAAGACUUUAAGUUUGCAUCUGUGUUUCGACUCCUGACCCUGGAUAGUGAAGAGGUGCCGGAGGCCUGCUGCCGGAGGGAACCCCAAAGUCGGGAUGGGGUCCUGCUGAGCCGGGAGGAGUGUCUCCUGGGAAGAAGCCUGUUCCUAAACAAGCAGGGCUGUUACACGGUGAUCCUCAACACCUUCGAAACCUACGUCUACUUGGCCGGAGCCCUUGCCAUCGGGGUACUGGCCAUUGAGCUUUUCGCCAUGAUCUUUGCCAUGUGCCUCUUCCGGGGCAUCCAGUAGAGGGUGUGGCCUGAAGCCUGAAGACUCGCCCCACCCACCACUGCCCAGCACCCAAUGUCCUCCCGUGCCCCUCCCUGCUGUCCUCUUGGCCCCAGGGGAGAAGAUGAGCCAUCAGAGAUGGCCAGGAGAAGGGUCAGGGGAAUAGAGCUAUUUUUUUAACAAAACAAAACGAAGACAAAAAUAUGGACUGACGUAUCCGCGCCUGGACUCAGGGCAGGUGCCAUGGGUUCUCCAGAGACCC
Molecule: small RNA, 699 nt
Filed under: Pongo abelii (Sumatran orangutan)
Lineage: Eukaryota; Metazoa; Chordata; Mammalia; Primates; Hominidae
Description: retained intron
Source: RNAcentral